RNAcentral lists this non-coding RNA (46 nucleotides) under Trichobilharzia regenti. The record is from RNAcentral. Lineage: Eukaryota; Metazoa; Platyhelminthes; Trematoda; Strigeidida; Schistosomatidae.
AUACUGCUGAGGAGUCUGAAAAUAAGACGAAACACCUGUCCAGUAC